Molecule: ribosomal RNA, 253 nt
Filed under: uncultured bacterium
Lineage: Bacteria
Description: partial 16S ribosomal RNA
Rfam family: Bacterial small subunit ribosomal RNA
Source: RNAcentral
UACGUAGGGUCCGAGCGUUGUCCGGAAUUACUGGGCGUAACGAGCUCGUAGGUGGUUUGUCGCGUUGUUCGUGAAAACUCACAGCUCAACUGUGGGCGUGCGGGCGAUACGGGCAGACUAGAGUACUGCAGGGGAGACUGGAAUUCCUGGUGUAGCGGUGGAAUGCGCAGAUAUCAGGAGGAACACCGGUGGCGAAGGCGGGUCUCUGGGCAGUAACUGACGCUGAGGAGCGAAAGCGUGGGGAGCGAACAGG